Molecule: long non-coding RNA, 524 nt
Filed under: Ananas comosus (pineapple)
Lineage: Eukaryota; Viridiplantae; Streptophyta; Magnoliopsida; Poales; Bromeliaceae
Description: long non-coding RNA (ACOM_LNC001637)
Source: RNAcentral
UUAAUCUUACUAGUUAAGGGACCCGCGCAAUGCUGCCGGUAGUUAUUUUAAAAUAUAAUUUUAAAAAUUAGUUAUAAAAAUUAAUUUCAGAAUUUAAAUGGUGCAAUAAGUACAUCAAAAAAUUUUAGUAGGUAUAGUAGUCCCCCAUUAUAUAGUUAGUGAAAUAAUUUUAGUAGGUAUCGUAGGUCUCCAGUAGUUAGUGAAUGAGAAGAGAAAUUAUUAUUUAUGAUUCUCGCAAUUAAUUUUCAUCAAAUAAAAAAUUAACUUAAACAGCAUCAAUUUUUGUUAUUUGUUAAAGUACAAUUUAUAUGUGAAUGCUCAGUAUUACAAAAUUAAUAUUUAUAUUUAAUACCAGUAGUCUAAAUUAUUUAACAUUUAUUUAUAUAUUUUAUAUUUUAUAAAAAUAAGUAGUAAAUUAUAUAAUAAAUUAUUAUAUAAUAAUAUAUCUAUUUACAAAUAAAAUAUUAUAUAUAAUAAAUAAAUAAAUAUUUAUAAAUAAAAUUUUAUAUAUAUAGAAUGAGAGG